AUAUUACUCUUGUACCCUUCCAUUUAACACCAAAAAUCUGAAGCAUUUAUCUCAUAUCUUUCUCUUACUUCAUCAAUUGCCGAAUCAUUUCUUGCGGAGUGUUGAAACUUGAAAAGCAUGAAUAGAUCAUAACCAGCACGAUGGUGAAGCUUGUAAAUCUAUUUUGUUUAGUUUAUGAAAAUCUUUCCUCCCCGGUUGGCGAAACUUUCCAGCUCAGUAGCUUGCAAAGCUCGAACCACGGACGCUACCAACAAAUUGUGUGAUGCAAUGGAUCGAACUAUGUUUAUGUAAUAGUUAUUGGAAUAUUUAUUUAUAUUCUAUUCUUAAUAAUAAUGGAAUUCAUGAUACACCAACGGAUCAAACUAUUAUAUAGGCAUUCUAAUGUUUUAUAAUAUUUGUU
RNAcentral lists this long non-coding RNA (400 nucleotides) under Medicago truncatula (barrel medic). RNAcentral describes it as "long non-coding RNA (MTRU_LNC007653)". The record is from RNAcentral. Lineage: Eukaryota; Viridiplantae; Streptophyta; Magnoliopsida; Fabales; Fabaceae.